GUGGGGAAUAUUGGGCAAUGGGCGAAAGCCUGACCCAGCAACGCCGCGUGAAGGAAGAAGGUCUUCGGAUCGUAAACUUCUAUCCUUGGUGAAGAUAAUGACGGUAGCCGAGAAGGAAGCCCCGGCUAACUACGUGCCAGCAGCCGCGGUAAUACGUAGGGGGCAAGCGUUGUCCGGAAUGAUUGGGCGUAAAGGGCGCGUAGGCGGCCUGGUAAGUCUGGAGUGAGAGUCCUGCUUUUAAGGUGGGAAUUGCUUUGGAUACUGUCGGGCUUGAGUGCAGGAGAGGUAAGUGGAAUUCCCGGUGUAGCGGUGAAAUGCGUAGAGAUCGGGAGGAACACCAGUGGCGAAGGCGACUUACUGGACUGUAACUGACGCUGAGGCGCGAAAGUGUGGGGAGCAAACAGGAUUAGAAACCCCGGUAGUCC
Molecule: ribosomal RNA, 425 nt
Filed under: uncultured bacterium
Lineage: Bacteria
Description: partial 16S ribosomal RNA
Rfam family: Bacterial small subunit ribosomal RNA
Source: RNAcentral